CAAUAGCGUAUAUUAAAGUUGUUGCGGUUAAAAGCUCGUAGUUGGAUUUCUGCCGAGGACGACCGGUCCGCCCUCUGGGUGAGCAUCUGGCUCGGCCUUGACAUCUUCUUGGUGAACGUUGCUGCACUUGACUGUGUGGUGCGGUACCCAGGACUUUUACUUUGAGGAAAUUAGAGUGUUUCAAGCAGGCAUACGCCUUGAAUACAUUAGCAUGGAAUAAUAAGAUAGGACCUUGGUUCUAUUUUGUUGGUUUCUAGAACAUACGCAAUGAUUAAUAGGGACAAUUGGGGGCAUUCGUAUUAACGCGUCAGAGGUGGAAUUCUUAGAUUGCGUUACGACGAACUACUGCGAAAGCAUUUGCCAAGGAUGUUUUCAUUGAUCAAGAACGAAAGUAUGGGGAUCGAAGAUGAUCAGAUACCGU
Molecule: ribosomal RNA, 421 nt
Filed under: uncultured eukaryote
Lineage: Eukaryota
Description: SSU rRNA
Rfam family: Eukaryotic small subunit ribosomal RNA
Source: RNAcentral